CGAGGGGUCCUAGCGUUGUUCGGAAUCACUGGGCGUAAAGCGUAUGUAGGCGGGCUUUUAAGUCAGGUGUGAAAUCCCAUGGCUCAACCAUGGAAUUGCAUUUGAAACUGGAAGUCUUGAGUGUGGGAGAGAUUGGUAGAAUACCUGGUGUAGUGGUGAAAUACGUAGAUAUCAGGUGGAAUACCGGUGGCGAAGGCGGCCAAUUGGCCCAACACUGACGCUGAGAUACGAAAGCGUGGGGAUCAAACAGGAUUAGAUACCCUGGUAGUCCACGCCGUAAACGAUGAAUACUUGGUGUUAGAGGUAUUGACCCCUCUAGUGCCGAAGCUAACGCGUUAAGUAUUCCGCCUGGGAAGUACGGUCGCAAGAUUA
This 372-nucleotide ribosomal RNA is filed under the name uncultured organism. Its description in RNAcentral is "bacterial SSU rRNA". It matches the Rfam family "Bacterial small subunit ribosomal RNA", at positions 526 to 896 of the family's 1533-position model. The record is from RNAcentral.